RNAcentral lists this ribosomal RNA (440 nucleotides) under uncultured bacterium. Its description in RNAcentral is "partial 16S ribosomal RNA". It matches the Rfam family "Bacterial small subunit ribosomal RNA", at positions 338 to 795 of the family's 1533-position model. The record is from RNAcentral.
CCUACGGGUGGCAGCAGUAGGGAAUCUUUCACAAUGGGCGAAAGCCUGAUGGAGCCACGCCGCGUGCAGGAUGAAGGCCUUCGGGUUGUAAACUGCUUUUAUAAGCGAGAAAUAUGAUGGUAACUUUUGAAUAAGGAUCGGCUAACUCCGUGCCAGCAGCCGCGGUAAUACGGAGGAUCCGAGCGUUAUCCGGAUUUAUUGGGUUUAAAGGGAGCGUAGAUGGUUUGUUAAGUCAGUUGUGAAAGUUUGCGGCUCAACCGUAAAAUUGCAUGUGAUACUGGCAGUCUAGAGUUUAGUUGAGGUAGGCGGAAUUCGUGGUGUAGCGGUGAAAUGCUUAGAGAUCACGAAGAACCCCGAUUGCGAAGGCAGCUUACUAAACUAUGACUGACAUUGAGGCUCGAAAGUGUGGGGAUCAAACAGGAUUAGAUACCCUUGUAGUC